This is a long non-coding RNA of Corticium candelabrum, 260 nucleotides long. RefSeq lists it as uncharacterized. The record is from RefSeq and is a predicted model, not a curated record. NCBI's taxonomy places the organism in Eukaryota, Metazoa, Porifera, Homoscleromorpha, Homosclerophorida, Plakinidae. The transcript has 3 exons.
GAAUGGAGCAAGACAGAAUUUGAACAAUGCUUGCUUGCGGACCAGGAGAAGGAAAGAGCAGCACAACAACAGAAAUUAGAAAGAAUUCGACUACAACAAGUGCGCCAAGCUCUAAGAGAAAUGAUCCCUCCUGAACCCACUGAAUCGUAUAGUGGAAUAGAUGUCAAACUGUUAUUUCCUGACUCUUCGAGGGCUCAAAGGAGAUUUUACAGUGAUGCUCCUCUUCAGGUAAAAUAUACAAGACAAUGAUAGGUAUUAGC